GAUGAAGAACGUAGCGAAAUGCGAUAAGUAAUGUGAAUUGCAGAAUUCAGUGAAUCAUCGAGUCUUUGAACGCACAUUGCGCCCCCUGGUAUUCCGGGGGGCAUGCCUGUCCGAGCGUCAUUGCUGCCCUCAAGCACGGCUUGUGUGUUGGGCCCCCGUCCCCGGUUCUCCCCGGGGACGGGCCCGAAAGGCAGCGGCGGCACCGCGUCCGAUCCUCGAGCGUAUGGGGCUUUGUCACCCGCUCUGUAGGCCCGGCCGGCGCCAGCCGACACCCCAACUUUAUUUUCUAAGGUUGACCUCGGAUCAGGUAGGGAUACCCGCUGAACUUAAGCAUAUCAAUAAGCGGAGG
RNAcentral lists this unclassified non-coding RNA (349 nucleotides) under soil metagenome. RNAcentral describes it as "partial contains 5.8S ribosomal RNA, internal transcribed spacer 2, and large subunit ribosomal RNA". The stretch from base 1 to 120 matches the Rfam family "5.8S ribosomal RNA", at positions 35 to 154 of the family's 154-position model. The record is from RNAcentral.